UACGGGGGGUGCGAGCGUUGUCCGGAAUCACUGGGCGUAAAGGGCGCGUAGGCGGUUUGGUAAGGUUGUGGUGAAAGCCCGGGGCUUAACCCCGGGUCUGCCGUGACGACUGUCAGACUGGAGGGCUCGAGAGGCAGACGGAAUUCCGGGUGUAGCGGUGGAAUGCGUAGAGAUCCGGAAGAAGACCGGUGGCGAAGGCGGUCUGCUGGCGAGUACCUGACGCUGAGGCGCGACAGCGUGGGGAGCAAACAGG
Molecule: ribosomal RNA, 253 nt
Filed under: uncultured bacterium
Lineage: Bacteria
Description: partial 16S ribosomal RNA
Rfam family: Bacterial small subunit ribosomal RNA
Source: RNAcentral